GCCAACCUCCCGCCAAGGACUGGGCUGGGCCGGAGCGGGGAGAGGCGGAGCCAGAAAGGGAAGCCAGGAUCUUCAGUUAUGGGAGUCUUCCCAGUGACUGUACCACUCCUGCCUGGGAAGCUUCCUCCAGCCCUGUCAAUCUGCAGUGUGUUGGACUUCAUGGGACAAGAUCACAGUCACACUCCUGCAACAUCUUCAAUUCUCUUUUUUCUUAUUCUUUAUUGGACUCACCUAGCACAACUCAGCCAUUGCUGAGAGGGACUAUGGCCUUCUCAUCGUCUAUUCCUGAUUAAUAAAGUUUUCCUGUCUUGUGUUAAAUUCA
This is a long non-coding RNA of Dipodomys spectabilis (banner-tailed kangaroo rat), 322 nucleotides long. RefSeq lists it as uncharacterized. NCBI's taxonomy places the organism in Eukaryota, Metazoa, Chordata, Mammalia, Rodentia, Heteromyidae. The transcript is spliced from 2 exons. The record is from RefSeq and is a predicted model, not a curated record.